RNAcentral lists this ribosomal RNA (603 nucleotides) under uncultured archaeon. Its description in RNAcentral is "bacterial SSU rRNA". It matches the Rfam family "Archaeal small subunit ribosomal RNA", at positions 10 to 620 of the family's 1478-position model. The record is from RNAcentral.
GAUCCUGCCAGAGGUCACUGCUAUCGGGGUUCGAUUAAGCCAUGCGAGUCGAGAGGGUUCAGACCCUCGGCGGACUGCUCAGUAACACGUGGAUAAUCUGCCCUAUGGUGGAGGAUAACCCCGGGAAACUGGGGAUAAUACUCCAUAAGUCAGGAGUACUGGAAUGUCUCCUAACUGAAAGUUGCGGCGCCAUAGGAUGAAUCUGCGGCCGAUUAGGUAGUUGUUGGGAUAACGGCCCAACAAGCCCGUAAUCGGUACGGGUUGUGGGAGCAAGAGCCCGGAGAUGGAAUCUGAGACACGAUUCCAGGCCCUACGGGGCGCAGCAGGCGCGAAAACUUUACAAUGCAGGAAACUGUGAUAAGGGAACCCCGAGUGCCCGUAAACGCGGGCUGUCCCGGUGUUUAAAACACAUCGGAAGAAAGGGCCGGGCAAGACCGGUGCCAGCCGCCGCGGUAAUACCGGCGGCUCGAGUGGUGACCACUUUUAUUGGGCUUAAAGCGUUCGUAGCUUGAUUUUUAAGUCUCUUGGGAAAUCUCACGGCUUAACUGUGAGGCGUCUAAGAGGUACUGGGAAUCUAGGGACCGGGAGAGGUAAGAGGUACUU